GAUGAACGCUGGCGGCGUGCCUAAUACAUGCAAGUCGAACGAAACUUCUUUAUCACCGAGUGCUUGCACUCACCGAUAAAGAGUUGAGUGGCGAACGGGUGAGUAACACGUGGGCAACCUGCCCAAAAGAGGGGGAGAACACUUGGAAACAGGUGCUAAUACCGCAUAACCAUAGUUACCGCAUGGUAACUAUGUAAAAGGUGGCUAUACUACCGCUUUUGGAUGGGCCCGCGGCGCAUUAGCUAGUUGGUAGGGUAAAGGCUUACUAAGGCAAUGAUGCGUAGCCGAAUUGAGAGGUUGAUAGGCCACCUUGGAACUGAGACACGGCCCAAACUCCUACGGGAGGCAGCAGUAGGGAAUCUUCCACAAUGGGCGAAAGCCUGAUGGAGCAACGCCGCGUGGGUGAAGAAGGUCUUCGGAUCGUAAAACCCUGUUGUUAGAGAAGAAAGUGCGUGAGAGUAACUGUUCACGUUUCGACGGUAUCUAACCGGAAAGCCACGGCUAACUACGUG
This 512-nucleotide ribosomal RNA is filed under the name uncultured bacterium. RNAcentral describes it as "partial 16S ribosomal RNA". It matches the Rfam family "Bacterial small subunit ribosomal RNA", at positions 28 to 507 of the family's 1533-position model. The record is from RNAcentral.